This is a non-coding RNA of Phasianus colchicus (ring-necked pheasant), 1766 nucleotides long. NCBI's taxonomy places the organism in Eukaryota, Metazoa, Chordata, Aves, Galliformes, Phasianidae. The record is from RefSeq and is a predicted model, not a curated record.
AUGCGAACGGCGUAUUUUACGGCAUUAUCACCGUGGAGAUGUCAGCUGUGCUCUCCUUUCUUUGGACGAGCAAAACUAUGGAGGAAAGAAUCCCUGUCUUGACCUGAGCAGAGGGAGCACUUGCAGAACUGGUAGCUGUUUCCUGUUGAUUGUGCUUCUCAGGAUCAGUUCCUAUACAUCUUCAACUGUGCUCUGUCCUUAUCUUGAACUGAAGAUUAUGCCUAUAAGUGCUGAGGAAAGCCAGGGAUGAAAAAUUGGCUUCAGAGUUCUCCAUAAAGAUGCUCACCUAAUCUAAUAAAACAGACUGAAUGUGUGAAAAGGAACUGAAAAAGUGCUGUUCAAAUGCCGGACAAUACCAAGGAAAUUAUCCUGCAAAUUGUUUUGCAGCGAUGAUUAGGAAGGAAAACCACCUGCAACUGUGUACCUACAUAGAUGGACACGGGGAGGUGAAAAGCUAUCAUUGUGUCAGUGGAGAAGGAAAACAGUUUAAUUUUUCUUUCAAGCUUACUCCUAAUGAUGUUGUGGCUUCCUGACACUGACGGUUGAGACCAAAAGUCCUACUGCCAUCUCAGUAAAGAAUGGUACAAUUCACUCUGGGGAUUUGUUACUAUGCCCCAGAUUGUGAUGGAAGUUCUCUUUCUUACUGGAACAUCAAAUAGCUCAUGAGUUGGAAUGCUUCUCUCCCCUGUUGGAGCUAGGUCUUAGGGCUCUGGUUUACAUGGUUCAGAGCCAAUGCUAGAUUUUUUUCUUCUUUCUCCUCCUUCUUGCAAAUCUGUUUACAAGAUCAUACAGUGUGAGUUUCUCAUCUGCCUGUCCAAUGAAAAAUACCCACAAAGCAACUAUGUUACUGGCCCAGAGAGAAGUUAAAAUGAUUGAGGUGCUAGGCUUGUCAGUUAGGACAUGGACCUAGGACACAAGACUAACCUAGUCUGAAUGCUGUUUUAAUAAAAUCAUCUUUUCUAUCUGUGUCAAAAUAGAAUUACUUUCAUUAUCUUCCUGACUCAGUGAGAUUCUUGUAGCUCUCCACAUGAUGACUGUGAUGAUACUACAAAAUUUGGAGAUCUGUUGGCUGAUGUCAUUGAAGCAUGUUUCUUGGCUCUAAAUCAGUGAACAGUAAGCUGUGAUUUCUGAACUGUCAUUUAAGUGAUGUGCCUGGUUAAUAUUCCAGUGUUAUGCAUAGCUUUAUAGACAUUGUGUAGUUAUCAUUUCAGAUAUCUCUUGGUAGAGGGGAUGUUGCUGAGGUACCCAGCCGUAAGUGUGAAAGGUGUUUAUGACAAGGUUUGAAUUCUGGGAUGCAACUUGUUCAAUAUGUCAUUGAACUCUUGGUCCAGCUGAAACUGCCUUUUGCCCUGAGGUUCACUUUUCCUGCCCUUCAGCUGUGUAUGUAGUGUCAGUGUACACCUUUGUAAAGUAGUUAAUGCUUUGUUACUAUGAUUACCUGCAUUAAAACAAUGGAAGGAGAGACCAAAACCAGCAUAUGAUUUUGCUGUCACAUUCAAGUGUGAAUGGAAAUGAUUUGUUCUGUGGUGUAUGUUUAUCCUUAUAUGCAAGACCUGUUCCUGCAUUGUCAGGUUUAUUUUACAGCAAACUUUUCACAGGUUCAGUCUGAUGCCCUGAAACACGGCAGAAUUGAUCUUGGUGGGACAUAAUUAUUGCUUGUACACCACACUUUAUAGACAAAUUAUUACAAUGUAAAUAAUGCACUGCAACUUAGAACAGGUAAUAAAUAGUCAUUAACAUGUAAUAAUAACUCAGAUAUGUGGAAA